UUGCCUACGGGGCGCAGCAGUGAGGAAUAUUGGUCAAUGGGCGGGAGCCUGAACCAGCCAAGUCGCGUGAGGGAAGACGGUCCUAUGGAUUGUAAACCUCUUUAGGCGGGGAGCAAUGCCGGGCACGCGUGCCCGGAGGGAGAGUACCCGCAGAAUAAGCAUCGGCUAACUCCGUGCCAGCAGCCGCGGUAAUACGGAGGAUGCGAGCGUUAUCCGGAAUGAUUGGGCGUAAAGGGGGCGCAGGCGGCCCUGCAAGUCUGGGGUGAAACGCCUGAGCUCAACUCAU
RNAcentral lists this ribosomal RNA (286 nucleotides) under uncultured bacterium. RNAcentral's name for it is "partial 16S ribosomal RNA". It matches the Rfam family "Bacterial small subunit ribosomal RNA", at positions 335 to 617 of the family's 1533-position model. The record is from RNAcentral.